CGGGGUGAGUAACGCGUGAGGAACCUGCCUCAAAGAGGGGGACAACAGUUGGAAACGACUGCUAAUACCGCAUAAGCCCACGGCUCGGCAUCGAGCAGAGGGAAAAGGAGCAAUCCGCUUUGAGAUGGCCUCGCGUCCGAUUAGCUAGUUGGUGAGGUAAUGGCCCACCAAGGCGACGAUCGGUAGCCGGACUGAGAGGUUGAACGGCCACAUUGGGACCGAGACACGGCCCAG
This 234-nucleotide ribosomal RNA is filed under the name uncultured bacterium. RNAcentral's name for it is "partial 16S ribosomal RNA". It matches the Rfam family "Bacterial small subunit ribosomal RNA", at positions 104 to 334 of the family's 1533-position model. The record is from RNAcentral.